UACUCCUUACGGUAUGCCGGAGCGGUCUUAAGUCCACAUGAUUGUGGCAUCUUGCCCAUAGAAGGUGUAAGGCCUGUUAAGACUGUACGGUAUGCUUUUGGAGUGUUUCAAGAGUCGGGUUGUUUGGGAAUGCAAUCCAAAGAGGGUGGUAAACUCCAUCCAAGGCUAAAUACUUCACAAGUCCGAUAGUAAACAAGUACCAUGAGGGAAAGUUGAAAAGAACUUUGAAGAGAGAGUUCAAUAGUACGUGAAAUCACUCGGGAUAUAAAGUCGGAAUAACGUCGAAGGGGUAUAAAGCGUUGGCUUUUCUGCAUAUGAUGCUUGGCGAGUAUGUCAUCCGCAAGGAGGCUGCUUGUCUCUGUAUGGUAUGUGGUUGAGUUAUCAGCUUCAAUUACCAGAUGCUUCCGAUCCUUGAUUGUGAUGGCAUAUGCUUUGGGGAGGUAUCUCAUUUUUUAUGAGCCCAUAUAAACUGGAGUAUAUGUUGUUGCGAUUAGGGUGGAAACUGAUGAAUACUCUAGCUAUUCAACACGAGUAAU
This 536-nucleotide ribosomal RNA is filed under the name Cheliplana sp. 2-NJ-2019. RNAcentral's name for it is "partial 28S ribosomal RNA". It matches the Rfam family "Eukaryotic large subunit ribosomal RNA", at positions 157 to 623 of the family's 3401-position model. The record is from RNAcentral. Lineage: Eukaryota; Metazoa; Platyhelminthes; Rhabdocoela; Karkinorhynchidae.